This 475-nucleotide ribosomal RNA is filed under the name uncultured bacterium. Its description in RNAcentral is "bacterial SSU rRNA". It matches the Rfam family "Bacterial small subunit ribosomal RNA", at positions 15 to 507 of the family's 1533-position model. The record is from RNAcentral.
GAUCAUGGCUCAGGACGAACGCUGGCGGCGUGCUUAACACAUGCAAGUCGAACGGUAAGGCCCUUCGGGGUACACGAGUGGCGAACGGGUGAGUAACACGUGGGUGAUCUGCCCUGCACUUCGGGAUAAGCCUGGGAAACUGGGUCUAAUACCGGAUAGGACCAUGGACUUCACGGUUUGUGGUGGAAAGCUUUUGCGGUGUGGGAUGGGCCCGCGGCCUAUCAGCUUGUUGGUGGGGUAAUGGCCUACCAAGGCGACGACGGGUAGCCGGCCUGAGAGGGUGUCCGGCCACACUGGGACUGAGAUACGGCCCAGACUCCUACGGGAGGCAGCAGUGGGGAAUAUUGCACAAUGGGCGCAAGCCUGAUGCAGCGACGCCGCGUGAGGGAUGACGGCCUUCGGGUUGUAAACCUCUUUCAAUAGGGACGAAGCGCAAGUGACGGUACCUAUAGAAGAAGCACCGGCCAACUACGUG